This 466-nucleotide ribosomal RNA is filed under the name uncultured bacterium. RNAcentral describes it as "partial 16S ribosomal RNA". It matches the Rfam family "Bacterial small subunit ribosomal RNA", at positions 28 to 507 of the family's 1533-position model. The record is from RNAcentral.
GACGAACGCUGGCGGCGUGCUUAACACAUGCAAGUCGAACGGAAAGGCCCAGCUUGCUGGGUACUCGAGUGGCGAACGGGUGAGUAACACGUGGGUGAUCUGCCCUGCACUCUGGGAUAAGCCUGGGAAACUGGGUCUAAUACCGGAUAUGACCGACUGUCGCAUGGUGGUUGGUGGAAAGCUUUUGCGGUGUGGGAUGGGCCCGCGGCCUAUCAGCUUGUUGGUGGGGUAAUGGCCUACCAAGGCGACGACGGGUAGCCGACCUGAGAGGGUGAUCGGCCACACUGGGACUGAGGCACGGCCCAGACUCCUACGGGAGGCAGCAGUGGGGAAUAUUGCACAAUGGGCGCAAGCCUGAUGCAGCGACGCCGCGUGAGGGAUGACGGCCUUCGGGUUGUAAACCUCUUUCACCAGGGACGAAGCGUGAGUGACGGUACCUGGAGAAGAAGCACCGGCCAACUACGUG